Molecule: ribosomal RNA, 551 nt
Filed under: uncultured bacterium
Lineage: Bacteria
Description: bacterial SSU rRNA
Rfam family: Bacterial small subunit ribosomal RNA
Source: RNAcentral
GUGCGUAGGCGGCCUUUUAAGUUUGUUGUGAAAUCUCCUGGCUUAACCGGGAGGGUGCGGCGAAUACUGAAAGGCUAGAGUAUGGGAGAGGAAAGUGGAAUUCCUGGUGUAGCGGUGAAAUGCGUAGAUAUCAGGAGGAACACCUGUGGUGUAGACGGCUUUCUGGACCAUAACUGACGCUGAGGCACGAAAGCGUGGGUAGCAAACAGGAUUAGAUACCCUGGUAGUCCACGCCCUAAACGAUGCAUAUUUGGUGUGGGCCAUUCAUUUGGUCUGUGCCGGAGCUAACGCGUUAAAUAUGCCGCCUGGGGAGUACAGUCGCAAGGCUGAAACUCAAAGGAAUUGACGGGGGCCCGCACAAGCGGUGGAGCAUGUGGUUUAAUUCGACGCAACGCGAAGAACCUUACCUGGGCUCGAAAUGCUAUGGACCAGCUGGUGAAAGCCGGCCUUCCCGCAAGGGACUGUAGUAUAGGUGCUGCAUGGCUGUCGUCAGCUCGUGUCGUGAGAUGUUGGGUUAAGUCCCGCAACGAGCGCAACCCUUGUCCUGUGUU